This is a long non-coding RNA of Phacochoerus africanus (Common warthog), 788 nucleotides long. RefSeq lists it as uncharacterized. The record is from RefSeq and is a predicted model, not a curated record. NCBI's taxonomy places the organism in Eukaryota, Metazoa, Chordata, Mammalia, Artiodactyla, Suidae. The transcript has 4 exons.
CCUCGCCAGCCGCAAGCCUUGCUCGGGGCUCGGUCCCGAGGGCAGCCCAUCUGCGGGAAGGAGCCCGCCCUAAGGCGCGCUGAGCCGCCGAGCCCCGCAGGGGCGGUGGGGGCUGGGCGCCCGCCCUUCCUGCAGCCCCUCCCCCAGCCGUCUGGAGCCGCGGCGGGGACGAAGCCCGCCGGGCUGAGGCGGCGGCGCUCCCCCUGUUCCGUCCCGUCCGCAGGCCGAGACGUCGGGAAGCUGAAGAAAUUCCUGCGGGCGUUCGUGGGAAAGCAGAGCGGGCAACUCACUUUAAACUCCCCACCCAAAGGGAGUGGGCUUAGUUCAGCGGUCGCCCUGAGUGGCCAGGCCAGCAUGGAGGAGGUGCCUGAGGGGACCUGACGCCAGCAUUGGACAAUCAGUCCUCUUCCUGAGCCCAGACCACCUUCACAUUUGCCGCUAGACAUGAAUGGCUUGGAGGCAUCAGGAGCUUGCUCUAUGAGGAAAGCGGAGGCUCAGCGAGGGACCUCGGCUUCCUUCUUUGGACUAGAUGUUUUCUUGGAGAUCAGCUUCCUCUCCUGAGCUGGGCAGGGACCAAGGCGAAGGGCAGGAAGAGAGCUCACACUCCCUGUGCCCCCGCCCAGCCUCAGGGCUGCCCUGCCUGAAGAAUGAUACUCCCGCCAUAUCCUCAGCCCUUCUCACUCCCCAAGCUUCCCAGGCGGCUCUGAGGUCUGAGACACCAGCUGUGCCUGGCGCCUGGAGUCCACGUGCCGUUCACGGAGAGACUUCCAGCAUCUCCUCCUUGGAAU